Molecule: ribosomal RNA, 574 nt
Filed under: uncultured bacterium
Lineage: Bacteria
Description: bacterial SSU rRNA
Rfam family: Bacterial small subunit ribosomal RNA
Source: RNAcentral
UCCUGGCGGCGAGUGGCGAACGGGUGAGUAAUACAUCGGAACGUGCCCAAUCGUGGGGGAUAACGCAGCGAAAGCUGUGCUAAUACCGCAUACGAUCUACGGAUGAAAGCAGGGGAUCGCAAGACCUUGCGCGAAUGGAGCGGCCGAUGGCAGAUUAGGUAGUUGGUGAGGUAAAGGCUCACCAAGCCUUCGAUCUGUAGCUGGUCUGAGAGGACGACCAGCCACACUGGGACUGAGACACGGCCCAGACUCCUACGGGAGGCAGCAGUGGGGAAUUUUGGACAAUGGGCGAAAGCCUGAUCCAGCCAUGCCGCGUGCAGGAUGAAGGCCUUCGGGUUGUAAACUGCUUUUGUACGGAACGAAACGGCCUUUUCUAAUAAAGAAGGCUAAUGACGGUACCGUAAGAAUAAGCACCGGCUAACUACGUGCCAGCAGCCGCGGUAAUACGUAGGGUGCAAGCGUUAAUCGGAAUUACUGGGCGUAAAGCGUGCGCAGGCGGUAAUGUAAGACAGUUGUGAAAUCCCCGGGCUCAACCUGGGAACUGCAUCUGUGACUGCAUUGCUGGAGUACGGUA